CCAGUGUUCAUCUUUUAUUUUUCCGCGAUUUCUUUCCAUUUUUCAUUUUUUACGUUUAUUAAUUUUAGUAUUUUUGUUGAUUAAACUCACUAUUUUUUGUGACCUUUGCGUUACAUGCCCAUUUUUUGGUAGUCGAAGAAUGUGACCGUCAUUAGAUAAGUGAAAUGACUAAAAAGUGCAUGCAACUAUGGUAUUGGUGAAUCUAAAAAUAUCUGAAUUGUAUUGGGGUAUUUUCGUCAAACAAAAAAUUGAAGCAUCGAUUGAUAAUUGAAUAUUGAGAACUCACAAGAUCGUAGUGAAUGGUGAAAAUAACUAACCUUGUCGAGCUACUGAAUUUCCAUAACCACCCAGCAUAUAAAUUAAUAUUAACUCCGUGAAAGUUGAAACUCACUACUAACAGUUGAAAAAUGAGAAAUAUGAAACACGAAAAUAUUUCACGAGUGUGAACCUCAAAUCUCGUGGGUUUGGAGAGAUUCAGGGUCAGAGGAUUGGAUGGAAUCGUUAAUUGUGCCAGCACUUCCACCACAGCCUCAAUUGACAUACGUGGCACCGCUCCAUGACAGUGGCAUUGAUGAUGGCCAUCCCAGCCAUUCGAACGUCGAUUAUCGUUCUUCCCUUACUAGUUUUUUGAGGAUUCCAAUUUUGCAAGAGAUUUGGGGGAAAUUUUGCAGGUUUUAUGUAGUAGAUUUAAGAGAGAAGACAAAAUAGGGGUUAGGGAAAUAGCUGUCAACAAUAAAGCAGAGGAGUUAUACGUGUUUCAUUUGGCCACGGUGGAAGAACCAGUUUGAACGAGAUAUGUGUGAAACCUCAUGUGAAAGAAUGAAUAGUGAAG
This 832-nucleotide long non-coding RNA is filed under the name Olea europaea subsp. europaea. The record is from RNAcentral. Lineage: Eukaryota; Viridiplantae; Streptophyta; Magnoliopsida; Lamiales; Oleaceae.